AGAGUUUGAUCAUGGCUCAGAAUGAACGCUGGCGGCGUGCCUAACACAUGCAAGUCGAGCGAGAACGUUCCUUCGGGAACUAGUAAAGCGGCGGACGGGUGAGUAAUACGUAAGAAUCUGCCUUUCAGUGAAGAAUACCCUCGAGAAAUUGAGGUUAAUGCUGCAUAUGUCCCUCCGGGGAGAAAGAUGGCCUCUUUGCUGUCGCUGAAAGAUGAGCUUACGCGCUAUUAGUUUGUUGGUAGGGUAAAGGCCUACCAAGACGAUGAUGGCUAGCCGGCCUGAGAGGGUGAACGGCCACACUGGAACUUAGAUACGGUCCAGACUCCUACGGGAGGCAGCAGUGAGGAAUAUUGCGCAAUGGGGGAAACCCUGACGCAGCGACGCCGCGUGGAGGAUGAAGGCUUUAGGGUCGUAAACUCCUGUUAAGUGGGAAGAAAGGCCUCUUCAUAAUACGUUGAGGAUAUGACGGUACCACUAGAGAAAGCACCGGCUAACUUCGUGCCAGCAGCCGCGGUAAUACGAGGGGUGCUAGCGUUAUUCGGAAUUAUUGGGCGUAAAGGGUGUGUAGACGGCAUAUUAAGUUGAUUGUUAAAUAUCUCGGCCUAACCGGGAAAAUGCAGUCAAUACUGAUUUGCUAGAGGGUGGAAGAGAGAAGUGGAGUUCUCGGAGUAGCGGUAAAAUGCGUAGAUCUCGAGAGGAACACCGAUGGCGAAGGCAGCUUCUUGGUCCAUUCCUGACGUUGAGACACGAAAGCGUGGGGAGCAAACAGGAUUAGAUACCCUAGUAGUCC
Molecule: ribosomal RNA, 790 nt
Filed under: uncultured bacterium
Lineage: Bacteria
Description: bacterial SSU rRNA
Rfam family: Bacterial small subunit ribosomal RNA
Source: RNAcentral